CGCAAGCCUGACGGAGCAACGCCGCGUGAGGGACGAAGGCCUCUGGGCUGUAAACCUCUUUUCUCAAGGAAGAAGACAUGACGGUACUUGAGGAAUAAGCCACGGCUAAUUCCGUGCCAGCAGCCGCGGUAAUACGGGAGUGGCAAGCGUUAUCCGGAAUUAUUGGGCGUAAAGCGUCCGCAGGCGGCCCAGCAAGUCUGUUGUUAAAAAGUGGAGCUUAACUCCAUCCAGGCAAUGGAAACUGCUGGGCUAGAGUGUGGUAGGGGCAGAGGGAAUUCCCGGUGUAGCGGUGAAAUGCGUAGAUAUCGGGAAGAACACCAGUGGCGAAGGCGCUCUGCUGGGCCAUAACUGACGCUCAUGGACGAAAGCCAGGGGAGCGAAAGGGAUUAGAUACCCCUGUAGUCCUGGCCGUAAACGAUGAACACUAGGUGUCGGGGGAAUCGACCCCCUCGGUGUCGUAGCCAACGCGUUAAGUGUUCCGCCUGGGGAGUACGCACGCAAGUGUGAAACUCAAAGGAAUUGACGGGGGCCCGCACAAGCGGUGGAGUAUGUGGUUUAAUUCGAUGCAACGCGAAGAACCUUACCAGGGUUUGACAUCCUGCGAAUCCCUUGGAAACUUGGGAGUGCCUUCGGGAGCGCAGUGACAGGUG
RNAcentral lists this ribosomal RNA (650 nucleotides) under arctic cyanobacterium R2S1. RNAcentral describes it as "bacterial SSU rRNA". It matches the Rfam family "Bacterial small subunit ribosomal RNA", at positions 376 to 1040 of the family's 1533-position model. Lineage: Bacteria; Bacillati; Cyanobacteriota. The record is from RNAcentral.